AUACUUACCUGGCCAGGGAGGAACUGUGGCUUUCCUAGGGUGAGGCUCAUCCAUUGCACUCAGAUGUGCUGACGCUUCCGAUUUCCCCAAAUGCAGGAAACUCAACUGCAUAAUUUUUGGUAGGGGGGGACUGUGUUUGUUCCAGCUUUCU
This 151-nucleotide small nuclear RNA is filed under the name Tupaia belangeri chinensis (Chinese tree shrew). RNAcentral's name for it is "Tupaia chinensis (Chinese tree shrew) U1 spliceosomal RNA". It matches the Rfam family "U1 spliceosomal RNA". Rfam says of the family: U1 is a small nuclear RNA (snRNA) component of the spliceosome (involved in pre-mRNA splicing). Its 5' end forms complementary base pairs with the 5' splice junction, thus defining the 5' donor site of an intron. Lineage: Eukaryota; Metazoa; Chordata; Mammalia; Scandentia; Tupaiidae. The record is from Rfam by way of RNAcentral.